GUUCAGAGAAGCUGUGAACUGAGGCAAACAUAGUCACUCAGGCACCUAGGAGUGUGGGCAUGCUUUUCUGCGCCUAUUUUGGAGAUAUUUUGCCAGCAGAGAAGGGAAAGAGAAGUUUUGUAGCUGAAGGAAAGAAGGAGAUGAUGCAAUUCUACCAGUGCAUGUUGAAAAGGUUUUUGUGACAGCUGUCUAACAGGCAUAUGUAACCUGAAUUUCCUAAUUGCUCAUGGCUUCUAAAAAGCAUGAUAAUGCUGCCAGUAUGGUAAAUCAAUUCAAACUGUGCAGAUCAGUUCCUGAGAAACUGCUGAAAAUGCUGCUGUUUCUGGACCUGGAUGGCCUGGUGCAGCCCCACUCACCCUCACCCUGGCCCUUUUGGGCUGGGCUGGACUCAGUUCCUGAACAGGAAAGAUACAAAGGCAGCGCAGAAGCCUACAUAUUUGAUUGAUGCCACCACUUCAGAGAACAGCCCCAGAAAUGGGAACUUGGGAGCAAAAUCACUCCUGACACUUCUACAGGAAUGUGGACUUUGAACUGGGUUUUGCAGGUGGAGAUAUCUGAGACCUUCCUCUGGGUAAGAAAAUCUUCUGCAAGCAAAAUUGCCCAAGUCAUCUCUUCCUUGGCAUUAGAUUUUAUGCUAUUAAUUUUGCAAAGCUAUC
RNAcentral lists this long non-coding RNA (656 nucleotides) under Amazona collaria (yellow-billed parrot). Its description in RNAcentral is "lncRNA (ENSACOG00000006870.1)". The record is from RNAcentral. Lineage: Eukaryota; Metazoa; Chordata; Aves; Psittaciformes; Psittacidae.